This is a long non-coding RNA of Cucumis melo (muskmelon), 3416 nucleotides long. RefSeq lists it as uncharacterized. NCBI's taxonomy places the organism in Eukaryota, Viridiplantae, Streptophyta, Magnoliopsida, Cucurbitales, Cucurbitaceae. The transcript has 5 exons. The record is from RefSeq and is a predicted model, not a curated record.
ACCCUAAAUUCUGCAGCCACCGAUCAAAUUUUCUUGUAGAUUCUUUUUUCCAUCGACGAUUUGAAGAUUUACUAUGGCCAGUAAAAGAGAAGGUCUAGCGAUCGGAAUCGAUUUGGAACCACGUACUCUUGCGUCGGUGUGUGGCAGCAGGAUCGAGUUGAGAUCAUUGCCAACGAUUAGGUUUGUAGAUCUCGCUGCCACUACUCAUCUUUCAGAUCUAUAAGGUUUUUUUUUAUCCUCUUUACCUUCCAACAUAAAAAUCAAGAACAUUUUUAUCAUCACAAAUUACGAAAAACAGGUUCAUGAAGUAAAAGGAACAAAAGAAAAUAUAAUUUAUCGUUCUUAUCCGAAUCAAUAAAUAAAAUAGAAGAAAAAUUGUUUAGGAAGAUGCAGAUGAACAAAGCGAAAAAGAAAAGAAAAAUGUCGAUUAUAGUUUUAUUGGCUAUAAGAUAUAUGCGGAUAUUAAUACAAUGGACAAACGAAAUAGUAAACUGUCGAGGAGUCCUCUUCAAUGUUGAAGAAUCUGUAGAUGCCUAUGGGCUAGGGUAUAAUUUGUUUCUUCAGAUCUCUGAUUAUUUGUUUUCUUUGUGCAAACUAGUUAAAUAUAUAAAUUUCCUGUUUCAUAACUUUUUUGGGGUUAAAUCUUGAAUAUGUAUAUUUUUGUCUUGUUUCAUUCCUUCAAGGAAACUUUACCAGAGAAAAUUCGACUUACAACUAUUAUUAAGAUUCUUAGUGCUAGUUUGUAGAUGGCUUCUUACUUCCACGCAAAACCAGAUUAUGUAUCUUUAUUGACUGUAAACGCAUUUAAUUUUUGUGAGUGAUUUCAUGGGCUUCCUUUUAAGAGUUGGUAGGCUUUGCUACGUGUAUUGAUGGCCUUUAGUCCAAUUGCUUUGAUAUACUCCCAAUUUGGUCAGGAAAAAUACAAAAUUUAGUAUCAUCUUGUAUUUGUACUGUUUGGGUAAGUGCAAAGGCCUAUUAUGCAUAUCAAGUGUGUCAAUUCUUGAUAGAGAUUAUAUGUCUUGGAUUUUUCUUAUAAGAACCUUUUUUAGUUAAAAGUUCAAUUGUUGAUCUAGCAGAAGAUAAAAUUAUAAACAUCUGAAUAUAGUGUUAGCUCAUGGUUAAAAAUUAUAAACAUCUGAAUAAAAUUAUAAGAACCUUUUUUAGUUAAAAGUUCAAAUGUUAGCUCAUGGUUCAACUGGUCUAUGCUAGAAUCAGCCAUAAUCUAGUGAUUCAAAUGAAUAUAUUUGGAUAUGUUCCAUUAACCUAACUACUUUUCUAUCUCAACUUAUUUCACUUCAGACAAAAAGUUGCGACUUGUGCUAAGAUCUUUGUAGGAGAUGGUGGCACAACCAGGGAUAUAUCGAUGAAAAUAACACUGUGAUUGACUAUAAUGGAUUGCUUAACACUCACAUGCUUGCAUAUUAUAAUUCGAUAUAUAAGGGUGUUGCAACAGUAAUGGUAUCUUACUCAAGCUGGAAUGGAGUGAGAAUGCACGCCAAAUGUGAUCUUGUAACUGGCUUCCUCAAGAACAAGCUCAAGUUCAAGGGGUUUGUUAUUUCCGAUUGGCAAGGGAUUGACAGGUCUUUUGUUAUAAGAUUUUGCAUCAUUUUGGCCAAUUUCACUUCUUCUGCAAAUGGAGUUGGCGUCUAUGUUUGAGUACGAUCUGAAGUAGUGGAGAAAUAAGAUCUAACAAUUUCCAUUUAAACUUGACACAUCACUCAAGCGGAUAAGAUCUAGAAAGGUCUGCCUUAAUCAAUUCACUAAUUUGCAGAACCAACUAAUGCAAAUGAUUUUGGGGUUACUUUGUUGCAGACGAACUAAUGCAAGAAUCUAUUUCAAUAUUGCACAAAAAGGAAAAGGCAUUGCAAGAGGAGAACAUGCAGCUAGCAAAUAAGGAAAGGGGAAGACCUUUAAUAACACUAGAGUGAAGCAUAGAGUGAAGGGGUUGAUUAAUAGAAGAAGAUGGGGUUUAGUAUGGAAGUUAAUUUAGUAGGAAAGACUCCUACCGUUGUUCAUAAAGUGUUCGUGAUCUCAAUCGAAAGAUAGUAAAAGUUUUGAGCUACGCACCAAUUUAAACUCUUGUGCGUGCCUCAAGGGAGUUUGUGAUUAUGCUUGGUAAUUGAUUGGAGACCACCUUCUGAAAAGCGACCAUCUUUUGCAAUUAUAAAAUUUAGUAUGCAUGUUGGGGUUUGGGAAUUGUUUAUAAUAUUAAUUGAGGACAAAAAAAGAAGUUAAGUUUGGGGGCUGUAAUUCCAUGGCAUAAAAUGCAUGAAUGUGAGCUUGUGUUGUGUGAUGAUGUAUGAUGAUAUGAUCUACCGCACUCCAUAAUUUCUAAAACUUGUUUUAGCUGAAACUAGUCAAGACCUUCGAAAGGAUUUCAUUUCCAAGUUCAAUUUGUCUGCCAAUGGAAACAUUACAUACAGUCUUAGUGACUUCCCAGAGGCAAGACCAGGUUAUUACCAAUAUCAUUUGCUUGACCUUCUAGUGUAAGAAGGCACAUAAUUUCGGUAAUUAGUUUUUCUGGGCUGCUUAAUCUGAUUAUGUAAUAAACAGAAACUUUGCAAAGAACACGAACGAUAUUUGGGAACUUGAAAGCUCAAAUACAUAAAGGAGUUCCCAUAAUAGGGGCUGGUGCAGGCACUGGGAUAUCUGCCAAGUUUGAAGAAGAUGGUGGUGUUGAUCUGAUAGUAGUGUACAAUUCGGGGCAGUUUCGCAUGGCUGGAAGGGGUUCUUUAGCAGGUUUGCUGCCUUUUGCCGAUGCUAAUGCCAUAGUGCUUGAAAUGGCCAAUGAAGUAUUACCUGUAAGUUCUAUCUUCUAUGUACCUGCUGAUUCACAAAGUUAAUUCUAGGAAUUGUAUCUACAAAUUUUGGAUCGACGCUUUGCAAGCAUACAAUUUUGAAGAAUAAAUUGUAUAAAUAUAGUUCUGUAUGUAUGAACAUUGGAAGUAAUGUUGUGUUUCCUAGAAGUGAAAUCUGUUUAUCGAUAAAGUAGGAAUUUCUUGGACAUCGAAAAUGACUUAAAAUGAUUUUUCUAGUCAAGCAUUGUGAUAGACCCAGUGGAAGUGGAGAUCUUGAAUGUAGAGAAUUAGGUAUAUCAGUAGAUUAUUUGGGAAGUCUCCAGCUAACCUGAGUGAGAGAUGUUAACCUCUUUGAUUUGUCUAGUUUGUACAUUUGAAGUGUACUCGUCUUAAUUUCCUGAAUAUUUUAAACUCUUUUGGACCCAAGAACAGAGCGGUAUUCUGAAUGUUGUCUAUAUUUUUUUUACAUUAGAUGUCAUAUCAUAUUUUACUGUUUUCUUUGGUUUUGCAUUCUUAAUCCUGAUGAAUAUAAAACUUGUGUCAUAUAAAUAUAUAUAUGGAUUGGGGUGUGGAUAUAAAAUCUUAAGAACUUUUCAUCCUUCUCUGCAAUUUCAAUAC